GCUGGGCGUGGUGGUGUAUGCCUGUAGUCCCAGCUACUUGGAGGCUGAGACAGGAGGAUCACCUGAGCCUGGGAAGGUCAAGGCUGCAGUGAGCUGUGAUCCAGCCACUGCACGCUAUCCUGGGUGACACAGUGAGACCCUGUCUCAA
This 148-nucleotide non-coding RNA is filed under the name Homo sapiens (human). Lineage: Eukaryota; Metazoa; Chordata; Mammalia; Primates; Hominidae. The record is from Rfam by way of RNAcentral.